Molecule: microRNA, 21 nt
Filed under: Picea abies (Norway spruce)
Lineage: Eukaryota; Viridiplantae; Streptophyta; Pinopsida; Pinales; Pinaceae
Description: pab-miR11525b
Source: miRBase by way of RNAcentral
UCUCGAGGACCAUAUCAGACC